Transfer RNA from Puccinia graminis f. sp. tritici, 107 nucleotides. It matches the Rfam family "tRNA". From Rfam's summary of the family: Transfer RNA (tRNA) molecules are approximately 80 nucleotides in length. NCBI's taxonomy places the organism in Eukaryota, Fungi, Basidiomycota, Pucciniomycetes, Pucciniales, Pucciniaceae. The record is from Rfam.
GACAACGUGGCCGAGCGGUUAAGGCGAUUGACUAGAAUCAGCUUCUAAGACUCUCGUCUAACAUCAAUUGGGAUUUUCCCGCGUAGGUUCAAAUCCUGCCGUUGUCG